AAUCAUGCGCAGUGACAGUAUCAUAGUCUAUGAGGUUCAUCUGAGGUGUGAUUAUUGCUAGUUGAAAAUUUUACCCAAUACCUUGCCUUGGUGAUUUGAAAUAUAAUCGUCAAAGGCAAUGUUAGACAGUCUCUAUGGAGA
Molecule: small nuclear RNA, 141 nt
Filed under: Nothobranchius furzeri (turquoise killifish)
Lineage: Eukaryota; Metazoa; Chordata; Actinopteri; Cyprinodontiformes; Nothobranchiidae
Description: U4 spliceosomal RNA (ENSNFUG00015021818.1)
Rfam family: U4 spliceosomal RNA
About the family: U4 small nuclear RNA (U4 snRNA) is a component of the major U2-dependent spliceosome.
Source: Rfam by way of RNAcentral